CAGGAUUGUCGAAAGACAUCUCCUUACACCAUUUGUGAAUCUACCCAUCUGUUGUGCUUCGGCAGGCGAUCCCCAUAGCGGGUUCCCUAGGCCUGUAAAGGUGCCUGCCGGAGUGCCUCAAACUAUUUUGAUAUCUCGUGGAAUCUCAGAGACGCAAAAGUUAAACAAUAA
This 171-nucleotide unclassified non-coding RNA is filed under the name uncultured fungus. RNAcentral describes it as "sequence contains ITS1, 5.8S rRNA gene". The record is from RNAcentral. Lineage: Eukaryota; Fungi.